AUACGUAGGGGGCUAGCGUUAUCCGGAUUUACUGGGCGUAAAGGGUGCGUAGGUGGUUUCUUAAGUCAGGAGUGAAAGGCUACGGCUCAACCGUAGUAAGCUCUUGAAACUGGGAAACUUGAGUGCAGGAGAGGAAAGUGGAAUUCCUAGUGUAGCGGUGAAAUGCGUAGAUAUUAGGAGGAACACCAGUAGCGAAGGCGGCUGUCUGGUCUGCAACUGACGCUGAGGCUCGAAAGCAUGGGGUAGC
Molecule: ribosomal RNA, 247 nt
Filed under: uncultured bacterium
Lineage: Bacteria
Description: partial 16S ribosomal RNA
Rfam family: Bacterial small subunit ribosomal RNA
Source: RNAcentral